GCGUUGUUCGGAAUUACUGGGCGUAAAGGGCUCGUAGGCGGCCAACUAAGUCAGACGUGAAAUCCCCAGGCUCAACCUGGGAACUGCGUCUGAUACUGGAUGGCUUGAAUUCGGGAGAGGGAUGCAGAAUUCCAGGUGUAGCGGUGAAAUGCGUAGAUAUCUGGAGGAACACCGGUGGCGAAGGCGGCAUCCUGGACCAAUAUUGACGCUGAGGAGCGAAAGCCAGGGGAGCAAACGGG
Molecule: ribosomal RNA, 239 nt
Filed under: uncultured bacterium
Lineage: Bacteria
Description: partial 16S ribosomal RNA
Rfam family: Bacterial small subunit ribosomal RNA
Source: RNAcentral